AGAAAACGAAGGCAAACCCACAUAAGUGGGUGACACAAGCAUGGCGUGUCCACCAUUAUCUAGGAAGCAGCAGCUGUGCUCAGCAUCAGCAAUGUGUUCCACAUUUUCAGGUGAAAUGUGUGUAUGUUUUGGUUCUAGGAUAGUCAUUUUUGAAGCAGCCUGUCAAAAAGACAGUCUGAAAAUAUGAUGUUAAAGUCUAUUCUGCAUUGUUAGAAUGGUACAGAAAAGAUGGCAUGGACAGUUUUGUGUUGGUGUGAAGAAAGUGGCAUGGGAAACACUUUAGGAAGCUGUUUGCCAUGCCUGUCAAAAGGGCCUGCAUAAUGAAGGAUAACCACUAGUCUAGGUUCUGAGAAAGCAAAAAAGCAUACAGAUAGAUGAUGAAGUUGACACUGAUCGCGUGCAUCAGAGUUUCAAUAUUAAUAUUGUCUUUAGAUUGUGGCCUGACAGUGUGGGUCCACAGAUAACCAGAAUGAACUUAAGUCAACUUUCAAUCAAGUGAGUAGAUAAAUAAUGAAGUCUAGUGGUUGACAGUCGGUGUCUUAGAAAUGACAUGUCUAAAAUGACUUGUGGAAGUAAUAAAGAGUUGGGACAUAUUUUUAGGAAGCAGUCUUCAUAAAAAUAAGAUUUUCCAAACUGCUUGAAGGAUAAAAUUUAAGAGGUGAAGAAAAGGCAUUUAGGAUCUAAUUUAGGUCUGCAAAAAUCUUUUAAGUAUAAGAAAUAUUAGAAAUUAUAGCAUUAAGUUAUUUUGGGGGUAAAUAAGGAGAAGUAAUAACAUAUAUGACAGCUUAGGUAUCAAUACGUAUCUUCUUAGUCUUUAAGCAUCUAUCCAUCACCCAUCCAUCAUCCAUUCCAUCCAUCCAAAUUGUCACCACAUGUAAAGAUAUAAGCGAAUGUGCUGGACACUUAACAAAAAGAUAACUGAGACAUGACCACAGUCUCUAAGAGCUGAUAAUCUAAUAGUUAAUGUAGUGUGGUAUGGUGUGGUGUGCCGGUGAUGGUGGUGGUGGUGGUGGUGGUGUUGGUGCUGGUGUGUGUGUGUGUGUGA
Long non-coding RNA from Perognathus longimembris pacificus (Pacific pocket mouse), 1045 nucleotides. RefSeq lists it as uncharacterized. The transcript has 3 exons. NCBI's taxonomy places the organism in Eukaryota, Metazoa, Chordata, Mammalia, Rodentia, Heteromyidae. The record is from RefSeq and is a predicted model, not a curated record.